AACAGGGAUUGCCUCAGUAGCGGCGAGUGAAGCGGCAAAAGCUCAAAUUUGAAAUCUGGCGUCUUUGGCGUCCGAGUUGUAAUUUGAAGAAGGUAUCUUUGGGCCCGGCUCUUGUCUAUGUUCCUUGGAACAGGACGUCACAGAGGGUGAGAAUCCCGUGCGAUGAGAUGACCCGGGUCUGUGUAAAGUUCCUUCGACGAGUCGAGUUGUUUGGGAAUGCAGCUCUAAGUGGGUGGUAAAUUCCAUCUAAAGCUAAAUAUUGGCGAGAGACCGAUAGCGAACAAGUACAGUGAUGGAAAGAUGAAAAGAACUUUGAAAAGAGAGUGAAAAAGUACGUGAAAUUGUUGAAAGGGAAGGGCUUGAGAUCAGACUUGGUAUUUUGCAUGCUGCUCUCUCGGGGGCGGCCGCUGCGGUUUACCGGGCCAGCAUCGGUUUGGAGCGGCAGGAUAAUGGCGGAGGAAUGUGGCACGGCUUCUGCUGUGUGUUAUAGCCUCUGACGAUACUGCCAGCCUAGACCGAGGACUGCGGUUUUUACCUAGGAUGUUGGCAUAAUGAUCUUAAGUCGCCCGUCUUGAA
Molecule: ribosomal RNA, 576 nt
Filed under: Candida albicans
Lineage: Eukaryota; Fungi; Ascomycota; Pichiomycetes; Serinales; Debaryomycetaceae
Description: LSU rRNA
Rfam family: Eukaryotic large subunit ribosomal RNA
Source: RNAcentral